Molecule: unclassified non-coding RNA, 279 nt
Filed under: Hevea brasiliensis (rubber tree)
Lineage: Eukaryota; Viridiplantae; Streptophyta; Magnoliopsida; Malpighiales; Euphorbiaceae
Source: RNAcentral
GAGUACUGCUGUCCCUUUUGCAACAAUUAGCAUGUGAUAUCAACAAGGAUAGAUCCCGGAAAAUUGCAUGGAUGACUGAAGUGGCUGCUGCCGUUAAUCCCACAGAUCCAAUGAUAGCAAUGCACAUACGUCCCAUCUUCGAACAGGUGUAUCAGAUUUUGAACCAUCAACGGACCUUGCCAACAGUCUCUCCAGUCGAGCUCACUGGCAUUCGUAUAAUCAUGCAUCUUGUCAACUCCAUGAUGGUAACUUGUAAAUGAUUCUUCCCUCUUUCGUAUG